RNAcentral lists this long non-coding RNA (6423 nucleotides) under Sus scrofa (pig). RNAcentral's name for it is "lncRNA (ENSSSCG00000062380.1, ENSSSCG00130034719.1, ENSSSCG00160003951.1)". Lineage: Eukaryota; Metazoa; Chordata; Mammalia; Artiodactyla; Suidae. The record is from RNAcentral.
AUCCCUGACCUUGCUCAGUGGGUUAAAGGUCCAGCAUUGCCAUGAGGUGUGGUGAGGUCACAGAUGUGGCUUGGGCAUGGUGUUGCUGUGGCUGUGGUGUAGGCCAGCAGCUGUAGCUUCAAUUCAAACCCUAGCCUGGGAACCUCCAUAUGCUGUGGGUACAGCCCUUAAAAAAAUAAAAAAUAAAUAAUGUAUUCUAAAAGUAAAACCUAACUAUUAAUCUAUUAUGUUUAUUAGCUUCUUGGUUAACAGGUCCAGAGGCUAAUGGCAGUAGUAACUGAAAGCUAGCAUGUAAUAAUUUAUUUUACUUUAGAUUUUUAGAUAAAACAGCAAAAUCAUACAUCACUUUAACCUUCAGUUUCCUCUCACAUCUAGUUUACCCAGAGUCCGUAUGUCAUCUGACAUGAGUCCAAGGCUUCUGAGAAGAAAGCUCACAGCAAAAGGGUAGAAGCUGUGAGGAAAUCUGGGAUGACUGUGUAAGCAGGUCUUAAUGGCUGUUCUUUGGCCUAAUUUACAAAGUCCUCUUGCUACACGUAAAAAUUCUGAUGUUUCCGACACAAAAUUAAAAUGGUGCCACAACCAGAUCAUGAUGCAAGUCCAAAUGCCAUGUAAUUGCUCCAUCACCCCUAGGAGAUGUUCUGAUUAAAAUGAGUCACAUUGACCUUGGAUGACAUGGCCUAAGGGGCAAUUAUUCCCCAAGAGACUUAAUUAAAUACAAUUAGACCAGUGAGAGUACAUUUAACGAGGCCCCUUGUGAUACCUAUGUUUCUAAUUUAUUUUUCCAGCAACUUUCACUAAUGAUUUGAUUCACUCAGAAUCCAUCAAUAGAUAAUGAUUGGACACUCACUACUACCAGGCACUGAUGGGAUACCUGGAUUCCACAGUUCAAGGAUUAGAGAGAAAAGACAGACACAUGACAAGUUAAACAGUCAUACAAGAUUGUAAGUGUUUAUAGGCUAAAUGAGUAGUAGGAGAAAGGGCAAAAUAUAAUUUGAGGAAGAGGUGCUCACUAUGUGUUGGAAGCAGACCACAGAUGGCCUUAGGGAAAACUUGGAGGCUAUGAGGAAAGAUAGAAUGAUACCUUUGAAUGAUAGAAUUCUAAGCUGGAAAGGGUUUUAGGAAUCAUCUUUUCUUAUAACCUCAUCUUACUGUGAGUACUCUGGAGCUCUUACUAGCUUAUCUGGCUUAGUCAAAACCAUGCUACUGGUGAUAUUUUAGGAAUGAACAGUAUAAGCAAGCUGAGUGGUGCAGAUGUAUAGCUAUAUUUGGGGGAUGGGGUAUUGAUUGGUUGGGUAAGAUAAAUAGUAUAAGAAAAUAUAGGCUUAAAAGAUGGUUUGGGUCUAUUUAUAAAAAGCCACCUUUUGAGUUUGGAAUUGAUUGUAUCAACAAAAAGGAAUAGAGACAUAUACUUGAAUUGUGAGGUUUUAUAAUUUAAGUGGUGUUUUCUAGAAGAUUAAUCUGGUAGUCUCGAUCCAGAUGUAUGGAAAAUAAUGACUGAUGUAGGCCCAGACCAGGCUAGUAAUAAUUAUAACAAGAGCAUCAAUGGGAACAACAAUCUCUAGUGAUGAUAAUGAGAAACAAAAAGCAUUGUGCAAGUAAUUCUGGACAAGAAAGGAACAGUAUCACAUAUGACUCCAGGGUUUCAAGCAAGGUUAUAAGGUGACAGCAGAAGUAGAGGCUGUCAGAGACAGGAACCAGAGUUGAAAGCAGGAUGGUCAAGGAGACUCUGAGAGGAAAAGGUGUGGUUCUAGACCAGAGAGUUCUAGGAUGGCUUAAGAUUUGACAGUCAGGAAUGAGCUAGGGUCCAGAUGAACAGUUUGAAACUGAGGUGAACUUGGACACUUUACGUCCAAGCAAGGCCCCAGAAUUAACAGACUGCUAGAGAACAGGAGGGCCAAGACACUGAAGGAAUAGUUAUAGCCUGCUCAUACCAAUGGUCAAAUGCAGGAAAUUUGGAAUGAACUCUUAAGAUCAUAAGCCAGACCUGCACCUUAGGCAGCAACAAACAAGGAGAGUUUGGUGAGCAGAAAAGGCAAGGGUUGAGGCAAGAGAUCACAGACAGUGUGGAUGUGCUGCAUUAAGGAACCACUGAUACUGCUAAAUAGACCCCCCAAGGCAGACAAAGAGUUCUAUAAGGGCAUCUGCAAGUCUGGAAGAGCCAUUAGGAAGGAAGAGAAAAAGGAGAAACAAAUGGAAAUGGUAAUUUUUAUAUAGAAGUAAUUACCGCAGGAGAAAACAGAACAUUAGCGAAUUUUUGAUUAUAUAUAUAAUGUAUAAAUAAUAAAAUAAUAUAGUAAUGUGUAUAUUUUACUAAUUAGUACUUUUUUUUCUUUUUUAGGGCCGCAGGUGUGGCAUAUGGAAAUUCCCAGGUUAGGGUCAAAUCAGAGCUACAGCUGUACAGCACCAGCAUAUGCCACAGCCACAGCAACGCCAGAUCUGAGCUGCAUCUGUGACCUAACCACAGCUCGCGGCAACACUGGAUCCUUAACCCACUGAGCAGGGCCAGGGAUUGAACCUGCAUCCUCAUGGAUACUAGUUGGGUUCGUUUUUGCUGAGCCACAAUGGGAAUUCCCUAUUUUUAUUUUUAUUCAUAAGCAGGCAGGGCAUAUGUGUGUGGAAGCAGAACAUGAAGUUGUCAGUGAGGCUAAAUGUACUUAUCUGAGCCUUCUGAAUACUGAGGAAAGCUUUACUCCAAAUGAAGAAGUUAGAUGUUUCCUUCUAUGUUAGUGACUGCCUUACCACCAAAUUGCUAUAGAAGUAGGGUCAUGUGCACUCUUGCUUGCAGAGAGGGAAUUCAUCCAAAUCUGAUUUAGUUCUUAAAAAAAUAUCAGGAGAUAGGGCUGAUUUCCAGGAGGAAUGAUGCCUUUGUUGUGCUGAUGUGGAGGUAACAGAAGAACAUUGAAGGAAAAUUUUUUACUAGCCAGUUGAUGGAGGAUAAGAGCUAGAAGUGUAGAUUUUAGAGUCAUACACAGAACUGAGAAAUGAAAGUGGUAGGGGAGGCAUUGUUGCUUCUCAGCAAUAGUCACAUUAACUGUUAUUUACAUAAACUUGUUUCUGUUACCUCAAUUUUGAAGGUACUGACUCAUUUUACACAAGCAAGAACAUAAGCGGCUGUGGUAGACUUUGACCUCAGUUGGACUUGAUCAUAAUUAGAUGGACAGCUGCGGAAGUUUGUGAAUUACACUUACACAUGGUGGUGUGGCAUGGGUUUAAAAAGAAGCCUGCAGCGAAGAGGGAGCAGGUCAAAAUCUAGUGACUGGCUGGUUGUCAGCAACCACUGGGCAUGUGCUUAAUAAAGCAGGGUUUAUAGCUCCAACAGUCACUUGAGUGAAGACUGGUUCAUGUCAGCUUUUGAAAAAUUAAGGGAAAUGUGGCUGAAAAGAUUCUCUCUUGAGGUUUCAGAUAUUUUCUGGUUGCUGUCAUAGAAUCCUUAUCCUGGCCUUUCACAUGGCAUUCUGGAACUUCUAUCCUUAUUUCAGCCUAAGCUACAGAGCCAAAAUGAAAAUAAAAAAUCUCAAACCAAACAGUAUUCUGUGGGAAAAACUGCUUUUGAAUGAAGGUUCAUCCUUAUUUAGGUGCUUGGUUUAUAUAAAUGUCUGAAUAUGGAAUACAAUGACCAAACUCUUUAGGUACACAUUUUUUUCACUAAACCAGCUUUAGUGCCAUUAACCAUGGGUGAAUUAUGGGGUGGGUAUGACACCAUUAAUGUAGAGACAGUUCUAGGUCCCUUGGUUUGGUGAUAGCAAGGAUGAGUGUGUUCCAUGCCAGCUCUGUUGAAAUGCACCCAAUUUUAGAAUGACAAUUUAAUAUAAGCAGCCAAACAUGGACUUAGUCCAACCUCAAAUGUCCUACUAAAACUGUGCGAUGGUCCAUAAAGAUAGCUCCGUCUCUAGGAAUUUUAUGGACUAAAACAGUGUGCUGAAGUGAUAAAUAGCACUCCCAAUACUUCCAUUAAGAGCCAUGUCUGUAUUUCUUUAGACCACCAUGCAGCACAGAGAAAUGUCUGGCAGAGGGGAACUAAGUAUGAAGUCUGUAUUCUCCUGAUUCUACUUGUGACUCCAGUUUUUUAAAUCUUCAAAAUGGAAGAAAAAAAGUUCUAAUAACCAAUUGCAAGAAUAUUAUGGCUCCAUUGCUUUGAGAACACACUUUCUACUGUGUCAUUCAUGUCCUUUCCGUAACAGUUCAUGAUCCCUGACGUGUUUCUUUCAGAAUUGACACUCCUGCACACAUACUUGCUAAACAUCUUUAAAUUUAAAUUCAAAUAAUGAAAAUUACAUGACAUGUUGGGUUUUCUUUGUUCACUAGUCUCUAGGGAGUUCUAAAUUCAGCUAAAUUCAGUGCUGAAUUCUUUAUGCCAAGCAUCAGAUAAAAUGAUCUUCUGCCUCCUUUAUCUGUGUUAACCCUCUUUAAAAAAAUAUAUAUCCAUUACAAGUGUAUUUUGACAAGUUUUUAACCUCACAGUAUUUGAAGGGCAGUUGUGGGGUAUUAAAAAGAAAAGCAGGAAUUGUGAUCAGCUCUUCAUCACCUUUGCUGAAUGCUCAUCCUGACUUGAGUUGUUUUUCUGAACACAGCCUGGCUUCAUUGGUGAGUAAGAUUAAUGCUCAAUGUAUUGUCUUACCACUAAGGUUACUAUGGGGAUCUUGUUCCUAUAUAUUACACUCCAAACCAGAAGGCAGUGGAUUUAAGAUGGAAGAUAGAGAAAGUGAGGUGAAGAAGGAGCAAGGAAAGAAUAUAUAGUUACAUGAAGUGAGAAUAAAAGUGUGUUUGAGUAAUUUUUAUCAAAUACUUUGAAAUUCAUUUUCUCUCUGUAAUUUUCCACACUUACCCACCAUUUAUCUUUCAUUAGUGACAGUUUUUUAUAAUGGGAGUGCUAUAGGAUCUCAGAGAAAUAAGGAUAUACUGAAAUGUUUUACUUUUUUUUUUUUCUUGUCUUUUUGCUUCUUCUAGGGCUGCUCCCGCUGCAUAUGGAGGUUCCCAGGCUAGGGGUUUAAUCAGAGCUGUAGCCGCAGGCCACAGCCACAGCCACAGCAAGGUGGGAUCUGAGCUGCGUCUGCGACCUACACUGUAGCUCAUGGCAACACCGGAUCCUUAACCCACUGAGAAAGGCCAGGGAUUGAACCCACAACCUCAUGGUUCCUAGUUGGAUUUGUUAACCACUGAGCCACGACGGGAACUCCUGAAAUGUUUUGCUUUAGCCAGUCCUCUUGGUCUUUGCAAUUUGGGACUGGGACAAUCUCAAAAUAAUGUAUCUGGGACUAUCUCAAAAUAUCAGCAACUGUGAGAUUUAUAACUCCUGAGGAACUCAUAGGGUACCUAACAAAAUGAACAUCUGGGUUGGGCUUUAACUAACGAUUUAGCAUUGAAAUGCCUCAGAGAAAUCAUGAAUGAAUUUAUUCUGUAAGAGGAAAAAUUGCCAAAAUAUGCCAACUCCUCUGGAUGCCUGAGGACUAAAAUCUUAAUCAUAUUCUCAAUGAGGUAGAAGAACCCACAUUCUUCUCCUGAAAUUUAAAGGUAGAAAUUGUGGCUGUAUUGUGACUAUUUAGUGACUAUUUAUUCUUACAUAGAAUGAAGAAGGUUAUGGUCAAGAAACUAACUUUACAUUUUGUACUAUGUAUACAUCAAGAAGAUACUCACAUCCUUAAUAGCAACUUUAAUUUUUUAUAAGACUGAUAGGAGAAGUCCAAUGAGAAAGGACUGGUAGGAUAUUGAUGUGCAUAACAGUAGUUGCAUUUCUUCUUCAUUGAGAGUUUCUUAAUCUUUCCAUUGCUGGAAUACUGUAAUCCCUCUCUCCUAAGGUCUAACACAGACUGGGUCUACCUAGGGCUGAAGGAGCUAUUCAUUCUGAUUGAAUUAAUCUUUCAAAUUCAUCAGAUAAGCUGCUCCAGAUUUCCGUUAAUUGUCCAUUUUAUUUACUAACCUGAUUGAUUUAAGCAUUUGUUUCAGGGUCGCUUAAACAUACAUAACUGUAGUAUCUGUGAUGUCUGUAAAUUAAAUUGAUCUUAUUGAAAUUUAAUGCUUGAAAACAAAAAUACCUAUCUCUAAGGAGUGCAGAAAACUUAUAUAAAGCCAAUUCAUUUUCCAUUUAUUUUUAUGCACUUGUUCAACAAAUACUUUUUCAGUAUUUAACAGCUAUGAACCAGUCUGACCUAUUAUCUAUCCCCUUUGUCCCUAGAGCUCAUGGCUAGGGACUAGUAGGUGAUGACCAUCUACAAUGUUACAGUGUUCAUCUACCAUGUUACAGUGAGGUGUUAGUCCAGGGAGCCAUGGGAGGACAUGAGCAGGUCAUCUCACCUAUGGUGAAAAAGGGUGGAGGCAGAGAACAGACCAGGCUUCCCAGAGGAAGUGCCCAAAGUAGCUGGAAGAGAUGAUGAGGAAAGACUGAUGCAAUAAGGGGAAAUAAAUAUGUGACCUAUUUUCUACUGU